This 495-nucleotide ribosomal RNA is filed under the name uncultured bacterium. RNAcentral's name for it is "partial 16S ribosomal RNA". It matches the Rfam family "Bacterial small subunit ribosomal RNA", at positions 28 to 507 of the family's 1533-position model. The record is from RNAcentral.
GAUGAACGCUGGCGGCGUGCCUAAUACAUGCAAGUAGAACGCUGAAGGAGGAGCUUGCUCUUCUGGAUGAGUUGCGAACGGGUGAGUAACGCGUAGGUAACCUGCCUUGUAGCGGGGGAUAACUAUUGGAAACGAUAGCUAAUACCGCAUGACAACAGUUAUUGCAUGAUAACUGUUUAAAAGGGGCAACUGCUCCACUACCAGAUGGACCUGCGUUGUAUUAGCUAGUUGGUGAGGUAACGGCUCACCAAGGCGACGAUACAUAGCCGACCUGAGAGGGUGAUCGGCCACACUGGGACGGAGACACGGCCCAGACUCCUACGGGAGGCAGCAGUAGGGAAUCUUCGGCAAUGGACGGAAGUCUGACCGAGCAACGCCGCGUGAGUGAAGAAGGUUGUCGGAUCGUAAAGCUCUGUUGUAAGAGAAGAACGAGGGUGAGAGUGGAAAGUUCACACUGUGACGGUAUCUGACCAGAAAGGGACGGCUAACUACGUG